This 416-nucleotide ribosomal RNA is filed under the name uncultured bacterium. RNAcentral's name for it is "bacterial SSU rRNA". It matches the Rfam family "Bacterial small subunit ribosomal RNA", at positions 355 to 787 of the family's 1533-position model. The record is from RNAcentral.
UCGGGAAUAUUGCGCAAUGGAGGAAACUCUGACGCAGUGACGCCGCGUGCAGGAAGAAGGUUUUCGGAUUGUAAACUGCUUUAGACAGGGAAGAAGCAAGACAGUACCUGUAGAAUAAGCUCCGGCUAACUACGUGCCAGCAGCCGCGGUAAUACGUAGGGAGCAAGCGUUAUCCGGAUUUAUUGGGUGUAAAGGGUGCGUAGACGGGAAUGCAAGUUGGUUGUGAAAUCCCUCGGCUCAACCGAGGAAUUGCAACCAAAACUAUAUUUCUUGAGUGCUGGAGAGGAAAGUGGAAUUCCUAGUGUAGCGGUGAAAUGCGUAGAUAUUAGGAGGAACACCAGUGGCGAAGGCGACUUUCUGGACAGUAACCGACGUUGAAGCACGAAAGUGUGGGGAGCAAACAGGAUUAGAUACCC